RNAcentral lists this ribosomal RNA (198 nucleotides) under uncultured bacterium. Its description in RNAcentral is "partial 16S ribosomal RNA". It matches the Rfam family "Bacterial small subunit ribosomal RNA", at positions 328 to 539 of the family's 1533-position model. The record is from RNAcentral.
ACGCUCGAUACCUACGGGGGGCAGCAGUGGGGGAUAUUGCACAAUGGGGGAAACCCUGAUGCAGCGACGCCGCGUGGAGGAAGAAGGUUUUCGGAUUGUAAACUCCUGUCGUACGGGACGAUAAUGACGGUACCGUACAAGAAAGCCACGGCUAACUACGUGCCAGUAGCCGCGGUAAUCUGAGCGGGCUGGCAAGGC